This is a long non-coding RNA of Cydia pomonella (codling moth), 735 nucleotides long. RefSeq lists it as uncharacterized. The transcript is spliced from 2 exons. NCBI's taxonomy places the organism in Eukaryota, Metazoa, Arthropoda, Insecta, Lepidoptera, Tortricidae. The record is from RefSeq and is a predicted model, not a curated record.
GGAGUUCAAUGUUUUUUUCUCAUCUCAAAAAAUGCCCAACGCGCCUAAAGAAGUUUUCACUUCAAAAAUUGUGCUUAAAAUUUCAAUAGAAUUGGCAGAGGCAAGUGAUUUUAAGAAAGAUUUUUCGCUAUAGCAUCAAUAAAUAGCUUAGCAUGCAUAACAUAGGAUCAAGUACAGUACAGCAGCUUCCAAUAAUAAUAUUAUUCAACAUUCUGCGCGCGAGCCUGGUAUUGAGUGGACGUGUCAAUUUAUUUUAAUAUUCCCGGAUAGACACUUAAAGUAAACUAAACCCUAAUUACCGGUGACUGUAGUCUAAAGUUCGUUGAAGUGCAUAGUGUUGGUAUGUGAUAGCAGUGGAUCGCGGAGGUCGUACCUUUAUACAGGACUUACAGGACUUUUUUGAUGAUGAUGUUACAGACACCUUCUAAGCAAUUAUAAUUAACUAUACUUAAUGAAAACAAUUUAUUUACAAACUUACCUACAUUUAUAACCAAAAACUAAAUCUGUAUUAUGAAUAUUGUACAUUAAUUAAUUUAUUUGUUUGACAUUUAUUAGUGAUCUCAUGUGUAAUAUAAGAAUUGCUUCAUGACUUUCUUAAAUAAGUAGAUAAUUUUGAUAAUAUGUUAUGAGUUAUGAAUAAUAAGAUAUUAUAUGCUGUGCCCUUGCAGGGUCCAUGUGAGACAUUGUAUAUCAUAUUGUAUAACAUCUGUACUGUACCAUGGUUGCAAUAAAGAA